CUUAGGCGUGUGACUGCGUACCUUUUGUAUAAUGGGUCAGCGACUUAUAUUCUGUAGCAAGGUUAACCGAAUAGGGGAGCCGAAGGGAAACCGAGUCUUAACUGGGCGUUAAGUUGCAGGGUAUAGACCCGAAACCCGGUGAUCUAGCCAUGGGCAGGUUGAAGGUUGGGUAACACUAACUGGAGGACCGAACCGACUAAUGUUGAAAAAUUAGCGGAUGACUUGUGGCUGGGGGUGAAAGGCCAAUCAAACCGGGAGAUAGCUGGUUCUCCCCGAAAGCUAUUUAGGUAGCGCCUCGUGAAUUCAUCUCCGGGGGUAGAGCACUGUUUCGGCAAGGGGGUCAUCCCGACUUACCAACCCGAUGCAAACUGCGAAUACCGGAGAAUGUUAUCACGGGAGACACACGGCGGGUGCUAACGUCCGUCGUGAAGAGGGAAACAACCCAGACCGCCAGCUAAGGUCCCAAAGUCAUGGUUAAGUGGGAAACGAUGUGGGAAGGCCCAGACAGCCAGGAUGUUGGCUUAGAAGCAGCCAUCAUUUAAAGAAAGCGUAAUAGCUCACUGGUCGAGUCGGCCUGCGCGGAAGAUGUAACGGGGCUAAACCAUGCACCGAAGCUGCGGCAGCGACACUGUGUGUUGUUGGGUAGGGGAGCGUUCUGUAAGCCUGCGAAGGUGUGCUGUGAGGCAUGCUGGAGGUAUCAGAAGUGCGAAUGCUGACAUAAGUAACGAUAAAGCGGGUGAAAAGCCCGCUCGCCGGAAGACCAAGGGUUCCUGUCCAACGUUAAUCGGGGCAGGGUGAGUCGACCCCUAAGGCGAGGCCGAAAGGCGUAGUCGAUGGGAAACAGGUUAAUAUUCCUGUACUUGGUGUUACCGCGAAGGGGGGACGGAGAAGGCUAUGUUGGCCGGGCGACGGUUGUCCCGGUUUAAGCGUGUAGGCUGGUUUUCCAGGCAAAUCCGGAAAAUCAAGGCUGAGGCGUGAUGACGAGGCACUACGGUGCUGAAGCAACAAAUGCCCUGCUUCCAGGAAAAGCCUCUAAGCAUCAGGUAACAUCAAAUCGUACCCCAAACCGACACAGGUGGUCAGGUAGAGAAUACCAAGGCGCUUGAGAGAACUCGGGUGAAGGAACUAGGCAAAAUGGUGCCGUAACUUCGGGAGAAGGCACGCUGAUAUGUAGGUGAAGUCCCUCGCGGAUGGAGCUGAAAUCAGUCGAAGAUACCAGCUGGCUGCAACUGUUUAUUAAAAACACAGCACUGUGCAAACACGAAAGUGGACGUAUACGGUGUGACGCCUGCCCGGUGCCGGAAGGUUAAUUGAUGGGGUCAGCGCAAGCGAAGCUCUUGAUCGAAGCCCCGGUAAACGGCGGCCGUAACUAUAACGGUCCUAAGGUAGCGAAAUUCCUUGUCGGGUAAGUUCCGACCUGCACGAAUGGCGUAAUGAUGGCCAGGCUGUCUCCACCCGAGACUCAGUGAAAUUGAACUCGCUGUGAAGAUGCAGUGUACCCGCGGCAAGACGGAAAGACCCCGUGAACCUUUACUAUAGCUUGACACUGAACAUUGAGCCUUGAUGUGUAGGAUAGGUGGGAGGCUUUGAAGUGUGGACGCCAGUCUGCAUGGAGCCGACCUUGAAAUACCACCCUUUAAUGUUUGAUGUUCUAACGUUGACCCGUGAUCCGGGUUGCGGACAGUGUCUGGUGGGUAGUUUGACUGGGGCGGUCUCCUCCUAAAGAGUAACGGAGGAGCACGAAGGUUGGCUAAUCCUGGUCGGACAUCAGGAGGUUAGUGCAAUGGCAUAAGCCAGCUUGACUGCGAGCGUGACGGCGCGAGCAGGUGCGAAAGCAGGUCAUAGUGAUCCGGUGGUUCUGAAUGGAAGGGCCAUCGCUCAACGGAUAAAAGGUACUCCGGGGAUAACAGGCUGAUACCGCCCAAGAGUUCAUAUCGACGGCGGUGUUUGGCACCUCGAUGUCGGCUCAUCACAUCCUGGGGCUGAAGUAGGUCCCAAGGGUAUGGCUGUUCGCCAUUUAAAGUGGUACGCGAGCUGGGUUUAGAACGUCGUGAGACAGUUCGGUCCCUAUCUGCCGUGGGCGCUGGAGAACUGAGGGGGGCUGCUCCUAGUACGAGAGGACCGGAGUGGACGCAUCACUGGUGUUCGGGUUGUCAUGCCAAUGGCACUGCCCGGUAGCUAAAUGCGGAAGAGAUAAGUGCUGAAAGCAUCUAAGCACGAAACUUGCCCCGAGAUGAGUUCUCCCUGACUCCUUGAGAGUCCUGAAGGAACGUUGAAGACGACGACGUUGAUAGGCCGGGUGUGUAAGCGCAGCGAUGCGUUGAGCUAACCGGUACUAAUGAACCGUGAGGCUUAACC
Molecule: ribosomal RNA, 2358 nt
Filed under: Escherichia coli
Lineage: Bacteria; Pseudomonadati; Pseudomonadota; Gammaproteobacteria; Enterobacterales; Enterobacteriaceae
Description: partial 23S ribosomal RNA
Rfam family: Bacterial large subunit ribosomal RNA
Source: RNAcentral